AAUUUUUAUCGCUGAGACUUAACUUAAUAAAUAAACCACAUCAUCGAGUCAUCCCUGCACUACGGGCCAAGGAUAUUCAUUAAAUCAUCAAUGGUCAUGACUAUACCGAAUAAUUCCUGGUCAUAAUCGUACCAAAAACUAUCCAUCAAUGCACUACAGGCUACUUAGGACUUUUACCACAUCAUUUAUAACAUUACAG
RNAcentral lists this long non-coding RNA (199 nucleotides) under Panax ginseng (ginseng). RNAcentral's name for it is "long non-coding RNA (PGIN_LNC003563)". Lineage: Eukaryota; Viridiplantae; Streptophyta; Magnoliopsida; Apiales; Araliaceae. The record is from RNAcentral.